UACGUAGGCAGCGAGCGUUGUUCGGAGUUAUUGGGCGUAAAGGGCUCGUAGGCGGUCCAUCGCGUCGGGAGUGAAAAGCUGGGGCUUAACCCCAGUCCUGCUUCCGAUACGGGUGGACUAGAGGUAGGUAGGGGAGAACGGAAUUCCUGGUGUAGCGGUGAAAUGCGCAGAUAUCAGGAGGAACACCGGUGGCGAAAGCGGCGCGCUGGACCUCUUCUGACGCUGAGGCGCGAAAGCCAGGGGAGCGAACGGG
This 253-nucleotide ribosomal RNA is filed under the name uncultured bacterium. Its description in RNAcentral is "partial 16S ribosomal RNA". It matches the Rfam family "Bacterial small subunit ribosomal RNA", at positions 524 to 776 of the family's 1533-position model. The record is from RNAcentral.